AGUGAACGCUGGCGGUAGGCCUAACACAUGCAAGUCGAACGGCAGCACAGUAAGAGCUUGCUCUUACGGGUGGCGAGUGGCGGACGGGUGAGGAAUACAUCGGAAUCUACUUUUUCGUGGGGGAUAACGUAGGGAAACUUACGCUAAUACCGCAUACGACCUACGGGUGAAAGCAGGGGAUCUUCGGACCUUGCGCGAUUGAAUGAGCCGAUGUCGGAUUAGCUAGUUGGCGGGGUAAAGGCCCACCAGGGCGACGAUCCGUAGCUGGUCUGAGAGGAUGAUCAGCCACACUGGAACUGAGACACGGUCCAGACUCCUACGGGAGGCAGCAGUGGGGAAUAUUGGACAAUGGGCGCAAGCCUGAUCCAGCCAUACCGCGUGGGUGAAGAAGGCAUUCGGGUUGUAAAGCCCUUUUGUUGGGAAAGAAAAGCAGCAGGUUAAUACCCCGCUGUUCUGACGGUACCCAAAGAAUAAGCACCGGCUAACUUCGUG
This 492-nucleotide ribosomal RNA is filed under the name uncultured bacterium. RNAcentral describes it as "partial 16S ribosomal RNA". It matches the Rfam family "Bacterial small subunit ribosomal RNA", at positions 29 to 507 of the family's 1533-position model. The record is from RNAcentral.